This is a long non-coding RNA of Equus asinus (donkey), 2074 nucleotides long. NCBI's taxonomy places the organism in Eukaryota, Metazoa, Chordata, Mammalia, Perissodactyla, Equidae. The record is from Ensembl.
CGGCGCUGGAGCGGGCGGCGUGGUCCGCCCGGGGAAGGGUAUUCUGUGUUCCUGACUUGCAUUUUGGUUUAUUCCGGGCGCGAGGGCAGCCGUUGAUUGUGAAUGUUUUAGUAAUCCUAAAAUAGAACCGAGUAGUUCUGGGAGAGGGGCUAUAAGGAGUUAGUGUUGAAUGAGUGCAGAGUUUCUUUUGGGGAAGAUGAACAAAUUCUGGAGAUGGAUGGUGGACACGGUGCGCAACAAUGUGAACGGGUUAAUGCCUCUGUGCUGCACGCUGAAAAACGGCUAACCUGGCAGAGCGGCAGCCCUUCGUUUCGCUGCUGAAGAGCUUUCCGCGGGGCACUGCAGCCGAGCUUCUGCAUCCGUUACCCGGUUGCUGGGAAUUUGGUUGUUUCGGGUUUGGGGCAUUGCAGACAAUGCCGUGAGGGAUGCUGUCCUGCGUGUGCAGGGGCGCAUCUGAGGGACGUGAACCUGGGACUGGCACGGAUGGCUCCGGGGUUGGGCAUCUUCAGCUUUACAAGAUGAGGUCGGAUUUUCUCCAAAGUUGGUUGUGGAGCUGGGUCAGCUUAUCUCUGCGGAGACCUCGAAGGAAAGCUUCCACCGUGGCUGUGAAUAAAUGGGAAAUUCUUAAAAUGAUACCGUCGUUAAGGGGCGUUGUAACGCCUGUCCCGGGCGUCGUAAGAGCUUAGAGCCUCUGGCCAGCCAGGACAAGCUACAGCAGCUCUGCCACUGACCCAGCCAAUGGCCUUGGGUGCAUCUUGGUGCUUCUGUGGACCACACUUUGCUCACCUGUAUGAUGGGAGAGACAACUCUGCUUCAGAGGGACUCGGGACCUUGGGGAGACAGGAGAAUAAUUCCACCGCCUGGCCGUGGCUGGAUCCUGUCCUGGAGGGAAAACCGCUUUGAAGCGUGUUAUUGAGUCAAUUGCUGAAACUGCCAGAAUUGGAAUACGAACCGGAGAUUAGAUCAAAUAAUACUGUCAAGGCUAAAUUUACCUAAGUCAGUAACCGAACUAAGGUAAGAGAACGUCCCUGUUCUAAGGAAAUACACCCCUGAAGCAUUUCAGGGCAAAAGGCCAGGGUGCGUGCAACUUACUCUCAGAAGUGUAAAUAAGGAUUGCAGGAGACGAAGCAUAUAGGCUAAAAUGUUAAUGCCAGUGAACAAAAGAGAUGGGCGGACCUCCUGAGCUCGGGGAAGACUGAGAGCAAGGACUGUGAUUUGUUUCACCAGGAGCUCCAGAGCUUGAGACAGUGCCCAGUAGGUAGCAGGUGUUUGAAGAUGUUUGUUGAUUGAAUGAAUGAUUGAAUAAACAAUGAAAGAACAAGUUAGUAAAUCAAAGAUGUGCUAUCUUGGCUGGACUACGGUUGUUGAGAACUCCUUGUGUCAACAUUGACCUUUUUAUGAAGUUUGCUCUCCAGUGAUAGCCUAGCUCACUCCCAGGACGGAGUAGAUCAGCACCAUCCAAUAAAAGUGGAAUGUGAGCCACGUGUGUAAUUUAGAAUCGUCUGGUGGCCACCUGAAAAGUGUAAAAAGAACAGGUAAAAUCAAUUUUAAUAAAAUAUUUCAUUUAACCCAACAUAUUUGAACAUUAUCACUUUAGCAUAUAAUUAACAUUAAAAUUAUUUUAUUUUAUUUUUUUGAGGAAGAUUAGCCCUGAGCUAACUGCCCCCAAGCCUCCUCUUUUUGCUGAGGAAGACUGGCCCUGAGCUACCAUCCGUGCCCAUCUUCCUCUACUUUAUAUGUGGGACGCCUGCCACAAGCAUGGCUUGAUGAGCGGUGUCACGUCUGCACCUGAGAUGGGAACUGGCGAACCCUGGGCCACCAGAUCGGAACGUGUGAACUUAACCACUGCGCCACCGGGCUGGCCCUAAUAUUAAAAUGAUUGAAUGAGAUAUUUUACCUUCCGUUUUUUUGUGCACUGUCCUGGCAGUCCAGCUUGUAUCGUACUUAUAGCACAUCUCGGUUUAGACGCUCAAUUUUCAUCACAAAUACUUGAUCUGUAUUUAGAGCUCAUAAAAUUUAGGGUUGAAAAAGUAGGUUCGUAUGCCUCAGUUGUUCCAAACAUACUUGAAAGUUU